GAGUUUGAUCGUGGCUCAGAUUGAACGCUGGCGGCAUGCCUUACACAUGCAAGUCGAACGGCAGCAUGAUCUAGCUUGCUAGAUUGAUGGCGAGUGGCGAACGGGUGAGUAAUACAUCGGAACGUGCCCUGUAGUGGGGAGUAACUAGUCGAAAGAAUUAGUCUAAUACCGCAUACGACCUCGAGGGUGGAAAGUAGGGGGACCGGCAAGGCCUCAUGCUAUAGGA
Molecule: ribosomal RNA, 226 nt
Filed under: uncultured microorganism
Description: partial 16S ribosomal RNA
Rfam family: Bacterial small subunit ribosomal RNA
Source: RNAcentral